Gadus morhua (Atlantic cod) is the source of this 1050-nucleotide long non-coding RNA. RefSeq lists it as uncharacterized. The transcript is spliced from 4 exons. The record is from RefSeq and is a predicted model, not a curated record. NCBI's taxonomy places the organism in Eukaryota, Metazoa, Chordata, Actinopteri, Gadiformes, Gadidae.
AGGGGAGGGACAGGAGCGGCGGAAAUCAAGACGGUGUCAGCAGCAUAGGCGUGACUCCUGCGUCCUAAAGCACACAGUAGAGACAGGAAUCCCAGCUUCGGUGCGUGCGUCCGGCUUCAGUACACUCUAUUUCACAGGCACGCUUCGUUCGGUUUCAUAUGGUUCGAUAGUUUAAUCUAUAUACUAUACUAACAGUUACUGGAUUGCGUACUGAAGAAACAUAAUCGCAUUGUCGUUGUUGCCCAGACACGAUCAUCAUGGACGUGACCUCCCCUCCACCUAUGAAUGUCACCACAGCCGCUCCCAUGCACACAGAGUCCACUGUUAUUGGAGUGGUGAUCGCGCUGCUCCUGGUGACCCUAGCAGUGGUGGGCUUCCUACUCUACCGCUAUCUGUGCCACAACAAGGGCGCCUACCGGACCACCGGGGAGCCCGCCCCGGGAGAGGACCUGGCAGAAGACCACAAACCAAACCAGGCUCCCAAUGACAAGAAGGAAUACUUUAUAUGAACCCUGGUUAAUGCUGACCAGCAUGCCGAGGAAAUGAAUGGACCUUGUUGGACACGCGGAGAAGAGAUGGAUGAAUGGGAGUAUUAUCUGUUCUGCUGUGUGCUGUCUGCCAUACGUGGAAUGUGUUCUUAUUUUUGCUGCAACAGGCCAAAAGCAGGAAUGAAAAAAGGGGAAUGAAAAAAAAAAGUGAAAAUGGAUGUGUAGCCACCGAGCAGCUGCCCGUGAGAACAGGUGUUUACAGACAUAAGGCGUGAGCAGGUGGUUCCCUCCCGUUUUGUCUAGGUCAUCAUUGUGACGAGGUGCUUUGACAAUCAAUAUUUUAGCCAGGAUUAGUUUUUACUAUGCAGUAUCUGUUAUAUUCCUGAUGUAUACAGCACAUCAGUCAUUUCAGGAUGUUUUUUGAAAUGGUCAAAACUGUUUUUUUUAAUAAUGUGCAAUUUUUGUUUUUCUCUUGUUGCACGUACCUUGUAUUUUUAUGUUUGCCGUUUGUUAUACAGAAACAGAAUUGUCAGUUUUGCCAAAUAUAGAGGACACUGAUUUA